GAUGUGAUAUCCUUUUUUUUUUUUCGGUGCUGUUUCUGAGAGCAUGAUAUCAAUCUGGUGCUGCCAUUUCUGCUUCUGAAUCACCAAAUGGAUGUGCAAUAACCUUAUCUUUCUGAGUAUCUUUCCUUUUGCAUGCUUUCAUGGCAUCUUUAAAUGUUGUAUAAUGCGAGAGAGAUUCUCUUCCAAUUGUAUGCCAUGUGGAAAAGUUAUUGAGACAUAAGUGGUUGGACCUGUUUUUCACGCAUCAAGCUAUCUAGUGUUUGGCCUUCUUUCCUGCAAAAUUUCCUCUGCAUUGUUGUGUUAUUCACCUGGUUGGACAUGUUGACUAAAUAUUCCCCAAUUGGUGUUGAGAUUAGGAGGUCAAAAAGUACUAUUUGAAAAAGCACUAUUUUAUAAUCAAUUACAAAAAGUAAUUUGAAAAAAAAAUGAUUAGUUGUUUUGGAGUUCCUAUGAUUAGAACAUGUCAAAUUUAACCUUGAACCAAUUUUUAAGACCUUCUAACUAUCAUAUUUAAGGAGAUCUUUUUCUCUGCAGUAGCUUUAGCAACUAUAUCAAAUAUACCCAUGAACUAGACUCAAUUUUCGUGUCUUAGGUUCUUUUUGUAAUGUUAUAUAUAUAUAUAAUAUGGGUUAAUUUUGAUUUUUUUUUUCAAUUUUUAUAUUUAAAAACUUAUCAUGUAAAAGAAUUUAGAUCUUUUUAAC
RNAcentral lists this unclassified non-coding RNA (701 nucleotides) under Hevea brasiliensis (rubber tree). Lineage: Eukaryota; Viridiplantae; Streptophyta; Magnoliopsida; Malpighiales; Euphorbiaceae. The record is from RNAcentral.